Molecule: ribosomal RNA, 441 nt
Filed under: uncultured Bacillota bacterium
Lineage: Bacteria; Bacillati; Bacillota
Description: bacterial SSU rRNA
Rfam family: Bacterial small subunit ribosomal RNA
Source: RNAcentral
GGGCCCGCACAAGCAGUGGAUUAUGUGGUUUAAUUCGAAGCAACGCGAAGAACCUUACCAGGUCUUGACAUCCAACUAACGAAGCAGAGAUGCAUCAGGUGCCCUUCGGGGAAAGUUGAGACAGGUGGUGCAUGGUUGUCGUCAGCUCGUGUCGUGAGAUGUUGGGUUAAGUCCCGCAACGAGCGCAACCCCUGCCAUUAGUUGCUACAUUCAGUUGAGCACUCUAAUGGGACCGCUACCGACAAGGUGGAGGAAGGUGGGGACGACGUCAAAUCAUCAUGCCCCUUACGACCUGGGCCACACACGUAAUACAAUGGCCGUUAACAGCGAGAAGCAAACCCGCGAGGGGGAGCAAAACUAUAAAAACGGUCUCAGUUCGGAUCGCAGGCUGCAACCGCUGCGUGAAGUUGGAAUUGCUAGUAAUCGCGGAUCAGCAUGCCG